UACGACUACAUCAGAUCGAUACACCACUUUCCGUACCAUCACCCAAGUUAAGCAACGUUGAGUCUGGUUAGUACUUAGUUGGGUGACUUCUUGGAAAUACCAGGUACUGUAAG
This is a non-coding RNA of Acanthosepion pharaonis, 113 nucleotides long. The record is from the annotation of a GenBank genome assembly. Lineage: Eukaryota; Metazoa; Mollusca; Cephalopoda; Sepiida; Sepiidae.